CACAUAAAAUAUAAAACUUAUUUUUUAAAAGAAAAGCAAGAAAGAAAAUCACCAGUCAAUUAGCAUAAUGCAGAGUCUUCCUCUUUUUUACUAUACCACCAACAAAACUGAAAAAAUGACCAAGGUAGUCAAUACCCUACCACCAGAAGCAGGUAGUAAGCUGUAUGACUGCUGGGCCACUUUUAAUCUAACAGCCUGUGGUUCAGCCUGACAGUCCAGACUCUGGAUCUGUCAGUCUAGUGCCAAAAUCAUCUUUCCCAGCAACACACUACAUCAGUGAAAGAUACCACAGGAUGGUUUCAAUAAAGUUCCUGGACAGAGCCUCUUUGUUUGCCUCCCUUCCUGGCAGGAAGUCAUUUGUUGCCUUUUUGGGGCCAUCAUGAUGGGGACACAUGGUUCCCACCAUGGAGUGCAGACAUGAGCUUUAACUUGCCAAUCACACCGAUCACUGUGUGAUUUCUACCCUCGCCUUGUAGUGACAGAGGUAGGAACCCAGGUAUGUUCUCUCCUGUAAAAUGGUUCAAUAUAUACAUGCUAUAAAAUGUAGGUCAAUUAAAGGAUAGGUCCUGACAUCUUGUGGAUGCUUCCAGAAACUAACUAGUUUAAAUAAUUAAAGCAUUGCAUGAUGCUGUUCAAGGUAUAGUUUCAGUGAGUGAUCUUAAAUAGAAGAAAACAAAUACCCAGAAUUUCAUGGGGAUAUAUUUCAGCCCCAUUUAGGGGACAGAGAGGCCUCUGCUUUUUAUUUAGAUCAUCAAAGGAUACAUGAACCCCAAAAGGCCACACUCAUCGCUAAUAUAAUAUUAAAUUCAGAACAGCCAUCUGACCUGAGCUUCAGGCUGAUUCAUAUAAUUACCUAUCAACUGUGUCCACCGGAAUGACUACAUGAACCCUAAUUCCAACCUGUUGAGUUUCAUGGUCCAGUGCUCAGAUCUUUCUUGGAGAAUGAAGGGAUAGCUUUUGACUACAAGGCUCUCCUCUUUUCUUAAUCCCCCACAGGACCAGCUGAGGUUCCAUUCUACCUUUAUAUAUUUCUGCCUUCAUCUUUUUCUUCCAUUUCCUUACAUUGAUGUCAUUUUAAAGCACUCUCAAGUGGUGUCCUUUAUUUCCAAAAGAACUUGGAACACCCACAAGUCUAUGAUAAGUUCCAGAACUUUCCCUUGCAUCUCUGCAAAAUUCAGCUGGUAACAUCUCCCCUCACUUGGCUGAAUCAACUCAGAGGAAAUCACUGUACAAGAUCUCAUCAUAAACGCCUCAUCUCAACUCGCUCCUGUCAACUCUGUCAGGGUAAAGUCCAAGAUUGUUAAUAUGAUGUAUGAGUUUCUGUGUAUGGCCUACACUCAUUUCUGAAGCUUUAUCCCUUCACUCUUGAAGUGUGUGCUGUUUUCCAGUAACCAAGUGAACUUCAAGCUCUUCUUCCACAUCCUGCUGGUCAUGCUCAAAUCAUAGCCUCUUCCUGGAAUGAUUAUUACCCUUUUUGACUUUGAAAGUGGCAAACAAGCCUUAAGUGUCAGCUUCAGCAUAUCUCUUCUGAAAGUUUUUCAUCUGAGCUGUAGUGUUCCCAGUGAUUUCCAGAGCUGCUGUUGACCUCCAGUACUACAAUCAUAGGAAAGUGGAGCAUCAAGGCAGAGUCCCUGCCUGGCAAAGGCAAGCUUUUUGGCUUACAGAAGGAGACUUCUUGUGGUGUCACGUGAUGAAAGGCCAAAGCAGAUCUCGGGAUCUUUUUCAUAGACAGAGAAUCCUGCUCAUUCAUAAGAGCUUUGCUUUGAGGACUCAGAUCCUAACAAUCAUCACACUAAAGGUGUGGGAUUUUACAGACUCAGGUGGGUGUGGGCAACCAUAUGGCAUCUUCCCAUUUAGUUUGGAAUUCCUCUCUGUGUGUGUGUGUGUGUGUGUGUGUGUGUGUGUCCGUGUGUGUGUCUGUGUGUGUGUCUGUGUCUGUGUGUGCACGCACAUAUUGUCUGUGUGUCUCUGUGGGGUGCAAGGGUGGAGACAGGUGUGACUUUGAGUUAUCUUCUUCAAAUGCUCACUACCUUAUUUUUCUAGACAUCUCCCUUCGAACCUGGAACACUGUUUUGAAUAGCUGCCUUGCCGGUGAUUCCCUAGAAUGUCCCUGUCUCUUUAGUCCAGUGCUGGAGUUACAGACACAUGCUACCCCACCUGGAAUUUAUGUGGGUAACGCAUUCCAAACUCAAGUCCUCAUACACGCACAGCAAGCGCUUUACCCAUUGAGUCCUGUCUGCUGCACUGGGCACUCUUAUAGUUCACAUUGUUGUUUUUAGGUUCUCAUAGUCUAUAAAUAUGAUCUUCUGUAUGUAGUGUGUUUUUGCACUAUAUACAUCUAUUAUUAUAUAGAUAGAUAUAUGUGUGCACAGGUCUACAGAAUAUCAAUCAUGUACAAAUAUUUUAGAUAAGACCUUUCUUCAGAAGCGGAAAGGUUUAUGCACCAUUACCAUAGUGACUAUUUGGACCAGCUCUCUCAUUUUAGGAGGGAGGAAACUGUAGCUCAGAGAGUUGGCAAAGCUGCAGCUAGUAAAUUGGUUGGGCUGGAAACCGAGACAGCUAAUAACCUUUCUGGUUUUGUUUGAAGUGUCUUUCAAAAUACCACAAGAACACAUAGAGAACAGAGAUAUAUCUUAACAUUAUUUUCCUAGAAGCUUAAUCUAGAAAGUUUAAUCCAGCCAAGCAGAAGUGGAGCUUCAGUUCCUACUCCUCUCAGUCAGCUUCCUACGCCUAGUAAGUUUUGUCUCAUCUCACGGGCACAUUUCUACAGAGUGAUGCCCAGCAGAAAUAAGUCAUAACCAGUAUCAGCUACAGGAGUCACUGACGGAAAUCCUAACAGACACCACUCCAGCCAUCUUAUUCAUUACCACAGCAGUCAGCAAAACCAGGUUUCCAGGGAGCAUUAGUUUGAGGGAACUCUGCCAAUUGCAGCAUUACUUAGAAGACAUGUUUUGCAUGUUCCUCAAAACCUACUGUCAAACAACCAGAGUGCAUAGAGUUUUCAAAUACUUCAGGUUUGGGUCCAGGCACACAGGACUCAAGCUUAUCCUGUCCAUUGGCACAGCAAGAUCACUUUCCCCUAGGCAACAUCUACUCUCUCCUUUGUUAGAGUACGCCCAUAUAAAUCAUUUGUACUCCUGGGCUUGGGCUCCAACACAAGAUGCCUUUCUUUAUAAGUCUGGGCUUCUAUUUCCAGCAGCCAUUCUUUUUGCUGGGCAAGGAAGGGCACACCAACCAACUCUUAAAACCCAGAAACGACAAAGUUAAGGGUUCACAUUUUAACCUAAUCAUGUUCUCCCUUCUACCCACAGAGCCGUGGCUGACUUCAUAGGGGAAACAUCUUGUACAGAAGAGCCUCACAUUAGAACCAGGGAAGUAGCAAUGAGCCAAGAUCCCUGGAACUGAGUCACUAGCAAACCCAUGCAAUCAAAAUGCCAUGGCUUUGUUUUCCUGGAUGACAAAGCCUUUGAGAGUUUUUAUUAUAUAACCAUAAACUACACUACAACUAGAUGCAAGGAGUGCCUGAAACUCGAAGAAAAAUGGAGCACAAGAGUUGCAAUGUAUUGAAAGCAGGUUUGAUGGAAGAGCACGGUCCCGACCUCCAGAAGGGAUGCACGGUCUUGCAACUUAGAUAAAUUAAUCAGACUUAUGAAAGUUGGCUGUGCUCACUAUGGCGGU
Molecule: small RNA, 3678 nt
Filed under: Rattus norvegicus (Norway rat)
Lineage: Eukaryota; Metazoa; Chordata; Mammalia; Rodentia; Muridae
Description: uncharacterized LOC108348778
Source: RNAcentral